CCCUCGCGCACGGGCUCUUGGGAGAGCGUCACCCGGCCUAUAAAAGCGUGCGCGCACCGCGCCGAAGUCUCUUUGGCUGCGAUCUGGCUGCGAGUGUGUAGUUAUGUGUCUGGGAUGAUAUCUUGGGCCUUAUCUGUGAGUGGCCGAGAUGCGGGAGACCCAAGGCGGCCAUGGUGCUGGCCGCAGGCCGUCAAUUAUGCAAGAGCGCGGUGAAGGGUAGCGCGCCGGCCUACAUGUAAAGCCGAUAUGGUGUUGGGAGGCGCCACGCCAAGUUCGCCACCGCAGGGUCAGAUGGAAAUGCCGGAACCUGUUGAACAGUGGAAGAAGUGUUAAGGUACUGUAUUGGUUGAGAUCGUCUGGUCAGUCACCUCACAGGGAAUCUUUGCUUUUAAUUUUUGGAAGUUGAAUAUUUUCUAUUAAAUAAAAGAUGUUUUGUGUGUAAUAA
RNAcentral lists this long non-coding RNA (445 nucleotides) under Mus pahari (shrew mouse). Its description in RNAcentral is "lncRNA (MGP_PahariEiJ_G0012459.1)". The record is from RNAcentral. Lineage: Eukaryota; Metazoa; Chordata; Mammalia; Rodentia; Muridae.